CCUCUCAUGGCGUAGUGGUAACGCGCCCCUACUAGAGAUCGGGGAGUCGUGAGUUCGUUUCUCACUGAGAAGA
Molecule: transfer RNA, 73 nt
Filed under: Aedes aegypti (yellow fever mosquito)
Lineage: Eukaryota; Metazoa; Arthropoda; Insecta; Diptera; Culicidae
Rfam family: tRNA
About the family: Transfer RNA (tRNA) molecules are approximately 80 nucleotides in length. Their secondary structure includes four short double-helical elements and three loops (D, anti-codon, and T loops).
Source: Rfam by way of RNAcentral